GCUAAUGUAGCUUAAUUAAAGCGUAACUCUGAAGAUGUUAAGAAAAACCUUAGACUGGUUUCAUGAGCA
This 69-nucleotide transfer RNA is filed under the name Ablennes hians. Its description in RNAcentral is "tRNA-Phe". It matches the Rfam family "tRNA". Rfam says of the family: Transfer RNA (tRNA) molecules are approximately 80 nucleotides in length. Their secondary structure includes four short double-helical elements and three loops (D, anti-codon, and T loops). Further hydrogen bonds mediate the characteristic L-shaped molecular structure. tRNAs have two regions of fundamental functional importance: the anti-codon, which is responsible for specific mRNA codon recognition, and the 3' end, to which the tRNAs corresponding amino acid is attached (by aminoacyl-tRNA synthetases). tRNAs cope with the degeneracy of the genetic code in two manners: having more than one tRNA (with a specific anti-codon) for a particular amino acid; and 'wobble' base-pairing, i.e. permitting non-standard base-pairing at the 3rd anti-codon position. The record is from RNAcentral. RNAcentral also lists the same sequence under 1 other name. Lineage: Eukaryota; Metazoa; Chordata; Actinopteri; Beloniformes; Belonidae.